This 434-nucleotide ribosomal RNA is filed under the name uncultured Pseudobutyrivibrio sp. RNAcentral describes it as "partial 16S ribosomal RNA". It matches the Rfam family "Bacterial small subunit ribosomal RNA", at positions 341 to 792 of the family's 1533-position model. The record is from RNAcentral. Lineage: Bacteria; Bacillati; Bacillota; Clostridia; Lachnospirales; Lachnospiraceae.
ACGGGAGGCAGCAGCGGGGAAUAUUGCACAAUGGGCGCAAGCCUGAUGCAGCGACGCCGCGUGAGCGAAGAAGUAUUUCGGUAUGUAAAGCUCUAUCAGCAGGGAAGAUAAUGACGGUACCUGACUAAGAAGCACCGGCUAAAUACGUGCCAGCAGCCGCGGUAAUACGUAUGGUGCAAGCGUUAUCCGGAUUUACUGGGUGUAAAGGGAGCGUAGGCGGUUUUACAAGUCUGAUGUGAAAGCCCGGGGCUCAACUCCGGUAUUGCAUUGGAAACUGUAGAACUAGAGUGUCGGAGGGGUAAGUGGAAUUCCUAGUGUAGCGGUGAAAUGCGUAGAUAUUAGGAGGAACACCAGUGGCGAAGGCGGCUUACUGGACGAUUACUGACGCUGAGGCUCGAAAGCGUGGGGAGCAAACAAGAUUAGAUACCCUGGUA